Molecule: ribosomal RNA, 465 nt
Filed under: uncultured bacterium
Lineage: Bacteria
Description: partial 16S ribosomal RNA
Rfam family: Bacterial small subunit ribosomal RNA
Source: RNAcentral
CCUACGGGAGGCAGCAGUAGGGAAUCUUCCACAAUGGGCGAAAGCCUGAUGGAGCAACGCCGCGUGGGUGAAGAAGGUCUUCGGAUCGUAAAACCCUGUUGUUAGAGAAGAAAGUGCGUGAGAGUAACUGUUCACGUUUCGACGGUAUCUAACCAGAAAGCCACGGCUAACUACGUGCCAGCAGCCGCGGUAAUACGGAGGUGGCAAGCGUUAUCCGGAUUUAUUGGGAGUAAAGGGAACGCAGGCGGUCUUUUAAGUCUGAUGUGAAAGCCUUCGGCUUAACCGGAGUAGUGCAUUGGAAACUGGGAGACUUGAGUGCAGAAGAGGAGAGUGGAACUCCAGGUGUAGCGGUGGAAUGCGUAGAUAUAGGGAAGAACACCAGUGGCGAAGGCGGCUCUCUGGGCUGUAACUGACGCUGAGGUUCGAAAGCGUGGGUAGCGAACAGGAUUAGAUACCCGUGUAGUC